GCUUGGAAAGGGGAGGCGAAAUCUUCCUGUCAGCUGGAAACAGGAGAAAGUGUUUCAGAUUAUAAAUGUUCAUAAUUCUGCAAAAACCUGAGACCAAAAGAUUUCUAUCUUGACAUCAUGGUGGAUGAAGGAAAAGAGCUCACGGUUCACUGGUAAAGACUGUUAUGGCUGAAAUUGCUAAUGGAACUCAACCUCAGCUAUAUUUGAAGACAUUCCCCGAAUGAAGCAGAGCACACUCAUAAUAACAGCAAUAAUAAGUUCAUUGCAAGGCGUCCUCUGGAAAACUCGACAGCACUACAGAAAUUAUGUGCAGGCAAUGUUGGCACUCGCAUCUGAUUUAAUAUCAGCGUUCUGUACUUUAUGUCAUAUUUCAACAAAGGAUUGUAGGUACAGGUUCUCCAGGAGAACCGAUAAAUCUUUGUGCUGAGGAGUGACUAAUAUGUAGAAGACAUGGAAGAGGAGGAAAAAUGGACACAUUCGUGAAAGAAAUAAAGAACUGGGAGACAAAAGACUUUUCACCUUUCAAGAAAGGGAUGAAUAUUGAAGGAGAAGAGGAGAUGGAUUGGGAGCUCAUUUCUGAAGGUUAGGGUGGUUUUCCUUUUCCUUUUGUUUCUCCCCUAUUCAUUUCAAUGAGAAUUGCAGAGAAUAAUAAUCUAGUUGUUUUGUCUGUGUGAUAAUUGCACCGAUAAUUUAGUAUGAUUUAAAUAAUCAAAUUCAGAGUGUUUUAUAUGUCAGAGUCUGAGAAAGGGUUUUCUCUAAUCUCCAAAGAUGCAUAUUCAUGAUGCCAUUAUAGAUACAGCUAAAGAAUUACAGUAGCAUAGUCUGCUUCAAACAAGUCAUCCAUGGCCUUCUUUUUUAAAGAAGAUGAAACAGUCAAAACACAAGAUGAUUGAUUUGUACUGUCAAAGUUCACCUCCUCUCACUUUGGUAAUGGAUUUCUUUAUCUAUCAACAGCUAUCCCUGUCAUUUAACAUUUGCCUACUGCAGCCUAUACUCAGGUUUAAGUGCUGUGUCAAGCAAAUUCAUGCCUUGAUCUUUUUCUGCCAUCUCUAACUCAUGUUUUGUUCUUUCCACCACAGCAGACCAGGUCCUUGGUGUGCUACCAUGUGUCUUGUGCCUUGGUGGGUGUGCUGUGCGCUCUACUGAAUGCCAGGCUCCGGCUACAGCCAGGGGCUGCUUCUGCUUCCCAGGACAUGAGCCAUGGGAUGUCCCACAGCCACCUUCAUGCCUGGGUUUCUCAUCUAUUUAUUGUCACUGCUUCAAAUGCCAACUGCAGGAGCCCCAUUUUGUGUGACACUUCAUUUUCUCAGCAUAGUAUAUCCCUGUUUUCCAGAUUAUUGUAUGUGUGGUUGGAGCUACGGAUAUUGUUAAAUGAGAAAAAAUAAUGGUUGUAAGAAAGAAUGCAAGAA
Strigops habroptila (Kakapo) is the source of this 1409-nucleotide long non-coding RNA. RefSeq lists it as uncharacterized. The transcript is spliced from 4 exons. Lineage: Eukaryota; Metazoa; Chordata; Aves; Psittaciformes; Psittacidae. The record is from RefSeq and is a predicted model, not a curated record.